RNAcentral lists this ribosomal RNA (199 nucleotides) under uncultured bacterium. RNAcentral describes it as "partial 16S ribosomal RNA". It matches the Rfam family "Bacterial small subunit ribosomal RNA", at positions 336 to 526 of the family's 1533-position model. The record is from RNAcentral.
CUCCUACGGGAGACAGCAGUGGGGAAUCUUGCACAAUGCGCGAAAGCGUGAUGCAGCAACGCCGCGUGGGAGAAGAAGGCCUUCGGGUUGUAAAUCCCCUUCAGUUGGGACGAAGCUUCGUCGGUUAAUAGCCGGUUGGAGUGACGGUACCUUCAGAAGAAGCCCCGGCUAACCUACGUGCCAGCAGCCGCGGUAAUAC